Cinara cedri is the source of this 330-nucleotide non-coding RNA. NCBI's taxonomy places the organism in Eukaryota, Metazoa, Arthropoda, Insecta, Hemiptera, Aphididae. The record is from the annotation of a GenBank genome assembly.
AUAUACAGUAUGAAUUUGCGCAUUGUAAGGAAAGCUACUGCUUACAAUCAAUGCAUCUACCAUAUGUGACAACUCUAUUGCCGUAGAAAGCUUACCACUACCUGAAAAACCUAUAAUAUAUAUAAACAGCCCUGUUAUCUGCUUUUGAAUACUUACCAUAUUACUUAAUACCGAGAUCCGCACCUAAUAAUAACACAAAACUUCUAAAACAUUAGAUAAAAAAUUACUCUUAGUAGUUAAAAUAUUAUGCAACACAAAUACAAAAAUAAAAACCAUACUGUGACUACUCCCAUAGCUCAUAACUUCAACAAUUAUAGUGUUUUUUACGCU